GCUGGUGAGAAGGAUGCUUAAGGAGCAACUCACGGAUGCCUGGUCAUCCAACGCCGCUCUUGGGAAGGUCUGAGACAAGGUCCAACGCCGAGGGUGGCGUUUAUCUCCUAGCAGGAGAGGUUGUGCAAUGCACGCCGGGGCCGUACGAGAAAAUGGCCGGUGGUUGUGCGCGUGACGCAAGAUGGGUAACUAUGCUCGGACGUCUGGUGCGCAUAACCGCCGUUCGGAAACGGUGUCGGUACCUGCUGUGCUGAGUGCGAUAGCGUAUGAACAAACUCAAUUCAGACUACUCUCUCGCCAGU
Non-coding RNA from Ascaris lumbricoides (common roundworm), 302 nucleotides. The record is from Rfam. NCBI's taxonomy places the organism in Eukaryota, Metazoa, Nematoda, Chromadorea, Rhabditida, Ascarididae.